Lathyrus oleraceus (garden pea) is the source of this 513-nucleotide long non-coding RNA. RefSeq lists it as uncharacterized. The record is from RefSeq and is a predicted model, not a curated record. The transcript has 2 exons. Lineage: Eukaryota; Viridiplantae; Streptophyta; Magnoliopsida; Fabales; Fabaceae.
CCAAGCCCUAAAAUCUAAAUCCACCUUUGUUCAAACCUAAAACUAACUCAAACCAAAUACCAAACCCCUCACAAAAACACAUGCAUCACCUACAAUCACAUAAAUCAAACAGAAAUCCUAAACAAUCAAACCUAAACACAUCAUGAAAAAAACAAAGGGUGGAAAGCAAAAGACCUACCAACGGAGACGAGGCUCUCUCCGGUACCAAAAGGUACCUCUUGGAGGAUUAAUGGAGGUUAAGCUCAGGUCCUUUAGUAAUUCAAGGUGAAUCCCUAAAUGUCUUUGGAUGGAGCUUUGGUGAGGGUUUAGGGUGGUGGCAAGACAACAUAUUUAGGGUUUUUUCUCUGUAAAAUUUGUGCCCUCUUCUUAUAAAACUCUAGGAUUUAUAUAGGCUCUGAGAUUAGGUUAGUUAUUAAGCAUGUGAUUCCAUUUCGGAAGUUUGGGAUAUAAGUUUGUGUAGUUUUGGAAGUUCCAAUUGUAACAGAAAUUUUGUAAUGGGAAAUUGAUUCUUUC